GAUGAACGCUAGCGAUAGGCUUAACACAUGCAAGUCGAGGGGCAGCGAUAGUUGUAGCAAUACAAUUAGUCGGCGACCGGCGCACGGGUGAGUAACACGUAUGCAACCUACCCAUAACAGGGGGAUAAGCGGAAGAAAUUCCGUCUAAUACCGCGUAACACAUAGUUGAGGCAUCUCAAGAAUGUAAAAGAUUUAUCGGUUAUGGAUGGGCAUGCGGCGCAUUAGCUAGUUGGCGGGGUAACGGCCCACCAAGGCGACGAUGCGUAGGGGUUCUGAGAGGAAGGUCCCCCACAUUGGUACUGAGACACGGACCAA
This 315-nucleotide ribosomal RNA is filed under the name uncultured bacterium. Its description in RNAcentral is "bacterial SSU rRNA". It matches the Rfam family "Bacterial small subunit ribosomal RNA", at positions 28 to 334 of the family's 1533-position model. The record is from RNAcentral.